This 253-nucleotide ribosomal RNA is filed under the name uncultured bacterium. Its description in RNAcentral is "partial 16S ribosomal RNA". It matches the Rfam family "Bacterial small subunit ribosomal RNA", at positions 524 to 776 of the family's 1533-position model. The record is from RNAcentral.
UACAGAGGGUGCGAGCGUUGUUCGGAAUUAUUGGGCGUAAAGGGCGCGUAGGCGGUGCGGUAAGUCACCUGUGAAAUCUCCUGGCUCAACUGGGAGCUUGCAGGCGAAACUGCCGUGCUGGAGUGUGGGAGAGGUGCGUGGAAUUCCCGGUGUAGCGGUGAAAUGCGUAGAUAUGCGGAGGAACACCGAUGGCGAAGGCAGCCCCCUGGGCCAACACUGACGCUCAGGCACGAAGGCGUGGGGAGCAAACAGG